UACUGAGGGUGCAAGCGUUGUCCGGAUUUAUUGGGCUUAAAGGGUGCGUAGGCGGCCCGUUAAGUCAGUGGUGAAAGCCUCCAGCUCAACUGGAGAACUGCCAUUGAUACUGGCGGGCUUGAGUACAGACGAGGUAGGCGGAAUUGAUUGUGUAGCGGUGAAAUGCAUAGAUACAAUCAAGAACACCGAUUGCGUAGGCAGCUUACUAGGCUGUAACUGACGCUGAGGCACGAAAGCGUGGGGAGCGAACAGG
This 253-nucleotide ribosomal RNA is filed under the name uncultured bacterium. Its description in RNAcentral is "partial 16S ribosomal RNA". It matches the Rfam family "Bacterial small subunit ribosomal RNA", at positions 524 to 776 of the family's 1533-position model. The record is from RNAcentral.